This 256-nucleotide ribosomal RNA is filed under the name uncultured bacterium. RNAcentral's name for it is "partial 16S ribosomal RNA". It matches the Rfam family "Bacterial small subunit ribosomal RNA", at positions 524 to 776 of the family's 1533-position model. The record is from RNAcentral.
GACGUAGGUGGCGAACGUUAUCCGGAAUUAUUGGGCGUAAAGGGUGCGUCGGCGGCAUGAUAAGUUAUUGGCGGGAAAUCGAGGCUCAACCUCGUGGAAACUAAUAAUACUGUUUUGCUUGAGUACAGGAGAGGUUAACGGAACUCCAUGUGGAGCGGUAAAAUGUGUAGAUAUAUGGAAGAACAUCAAUAACGGCGAAGGCAGUUAACUAUUCUGUUACUGACGUUGAGGCACGAAAGCGUGGGGAGCAAAACGG